UACGGAGGGGGCUAGCGGUGUUCGGAAUUACUGGGCGUAAAGCGCACGUAGGCGGAUAUUUAAGUCAGGGGUGAAAUCCCGGGGCUCAACCCCGGAACUGCCUUUGAUACUGGGUAUCUGGAGGUCGAGAGAGGCGAGUGGAACUCCGAGUGUAGAGGUGAAAUUCGUAGAUAUUCGGAAGAACACCAGUGGCGAAGGCGGCUCACUGGCCCGGUACUGACGCUGAUGUGCGAAAGCGUGGGGAGCAAACAGG
RNAcentral lists this ribosomal RNA (253 nucleotides) under uncultured bacterium. RNAcentral describes it as "partial 16S ribosomal RNA". It matches the Rfam family "Bacterial small subunit ribosomal RNA", at positions 524 to 776 of the family's 1533-position model. The record is from RNAcentral.